This 253-nucleotide ribosomal RNA is filed under the name uncultured bacterium. RNAcentral's name for it is "partial 16S ribosomal RNA". It matches the Rfam family "Bacterial small subunit ribosomal RNA", at positions 524 to 776 of the family's 1533-position model. The record is from RNAcentral.
UACAGAGGGUGCAAGCGUUAAUCGGAAUUACUGGGCGUAAAGCGAGCGUAGUCGGUUAUUUAAGUCGGGUGUGAAAGCCCCGGGCUCAACCUGGGAAUUGCAUUCGAUACUGGAUAGCUAGAGUUCGGCAGAGGGAAGCGGAAUUUCCGGUGUAGCGGUGAAAUGCGUAGAUAUCAGGAGGAACACCGAUGGCGAAGGCAGGUCUCUGGGCUGACACUGACGCUCAUGCACGAAAGCGUGGGGAGCAAACAGG